Long non-coding RNA from Piliocolobus tephrosceles (Ugandan red Colobus), 4528 nucleotides. Lineage: Eukaryota; Metazoa; Chordata; Mammalia; Primates; Cercopithecidae. The record is from Ensembl.
AAUGGAUCAGAUAAUUUAGACAUCAUGAAUUUAAAAAGAGGAUUUAAUUAUAACAAUUAUGCUGAAUUUAUUUUAGCUAGUAAGUACCAUUUUAAUGUGAUAAACAGAAAUAAUGAACAGCUAAAAAAUGAUGUUUUUAUCUUUAGCAUAUUAAGAAAGUCUUUGUCUUUAACUUUUAAUUUGAAUGAAAAAACAUUAUACAAGGAAGUGCUAAAAACUAUUAUUUAUUUGAUAGAAAACAUCAUUCAUGAAAAAAAUGUCAAGAUGUAUUAUUUGGCUGUUUUUUUCCUCGAUUUGUUAUAUAUUAUUAAGAUAGAAGAAAAAAAAAAAAAAAAAAAUUUUUUUUUUAUUUCCAAAUUUUUUCAAUUUUUGAUUGAUAUUUUUCAAUUAAUUUAUAAGGACGAAAUGAAGGCAGGCGUAAGGCUAUGUGGAAAGAGCGACGGGUCGAAGAUGAAAAACGGUGUUACUAAUAGUAUAGGACUUGAAGUAGGUGCACACUUAGACAUAGGUACAUACACAGGAACGAGUACUACUACCCAAAGUAUAUUACUAGAAGAGAUAGAACUUAAUUUGCUUAAUAAAAAAAUAGAAACAAAACCUUUUUGUAGUAUUUUUUCAAUAAAAAGUGAUGACAGGUUUUUUAGUAUGCAGAAUAAAAAUAUAAGUGCUUUAUUUCUUGUAUUGUUUAAUCUAUACGAUUUUUUUAAAAAAAAAAUUAACACUUAUUAUAGCAAGAUCAAAAAGUACAGUAUGGAUUAUGAAGACUAUAUACAUGAUGGUGUGCAUAACUAUAGCAGUAUAAACAGCGGUAGUAUAAAAAAUGGUAGCUAUUUGUACGAUGGUAAUGAUAUGGUUGGAGGUGAGCGUAUGGAGGAUGAACAUAUACACGACGAGCGUAUAGAGGAUGAACAUAUGUACGGCGAACGUAGGACCAAACGUAAUGGUAAAAAUGGGCCCUCUCAUUCAAAUAUGUAUAAUUACGAUAUGGAUAUACAUGCAGACGUCAGUAAAAAUUACAGGGAUAGUAGUACGAACAGAACAUUACAUCGAGUCGAAGCAGAACACAAGUCAGUAAAGCAUAUGAAUGUAGCAGAAGAAACAGAUGUGAUAAAAGAAACUAUCACACCAGAUGAUAGUUUGGUAUACGAUAUGAAAAAGGACAUGAAACAAAAUAAGUACAUGUGGAAUAUUGAUGGAGAAGAAAAUAAACUUAAUGGUAUUCUCGAGAUAAGUGAUAAUGGCACUAAUAAUGAUAAUAAAAAAACGUCUAAUUAUAGAAGCGGUUUUUUAGAAAUAGAGGACUCAGAAUAUGCAAGUGGUUUUAAGCGAAAAGAUAAUUUAUUAAAUAAAAUUGUGGAUGACAAUGUAAAUGGCAUAUGUGAGUUUACGAAUACUACUGUAAAUGAUAGUCGGAUUAAAAUAAAUAAUAAUGUUGAUAAAAACAAUUAUGAUCAUAAUAGUACAAAUUUUAAAGAAAUAGUUCAACCUGAUGAGUAUUAUAAGAAUGUUUAUGAUAAGAGUAUGAAUGGAGAAAUAAGAGAAGUAAAUGUUAAAGGUUUAGUUAAAGAAGAAGAUAAAUUAUACUCUUCUUAUAAUUAUGAACGUGAUACAGGAAUAGCAACCGUUUCGAAAAAAACGACGAACUUAGAAACUAGGAGAAGUAACUAUGCACAUAUGUACAAAUACGAAAAAAAAAUAAACAGCAGUAGAAAUAUGAAUGAAGUAGAUAUUGUCGACACUGCCGAUAUGCAAAACUCAAAAAAAGAUAUGCAAUAUUUGAUGCAUACAUAUAGCAAUACGACUAGCGAUAAUAAUUUAUACGGAAAAACCGAUGAUAGUGCAGGAAGUGUAUCAAAAAAGUAUGAACAUUCAUUUUUUUACGAAUAUAAAAAUGAAAUAACUAACGAUUCUAAAACACAUGAUAAAAAAUUAAAAAAAAACAAAAAAAUCGGGAUGUAUAAAUUAUGUUUACACAAUAUAAUUUAUAUUAUUAAAAUAAUGUAUUUUAUUACAAGAGGAGAAUUUUUAUUUAUAGACAAAUUGUAUACCAUUUUUAAAGAGAAUAUAAAAAACAAACAAGAUGGAGGUAGUAAAAAUAGUACAGUUAAAACAAAAAUUGAAAAGGCCAAAGAAAAAGAUAGCGUCCUCAACAAUAAAGACAAUAAUAACAAUAGUAGUAAAGACAACAAUAACAAUAAUAACAACAAUAGUAAUAGUAGUAGUAUUAAAAAAAAAAAGAAAAAAAAAAAAAAAAAAACCCUAUUAAAAAAAAGAUUCACAAAAAGUAAAAAAGGUAACAAUGACAUGAAUAAUGAUAGUAGUGACUAUGAUACUAGAAAUAAUAAUAAUAAUGAUAAUUAUAAUACACAUUACGGAAACAGAGAUAGUAAUAAUAAUAAUAAUAAUAAAAACGCUAUUGGUAAUGGUAGUACGAAACGUAGUAGUCGAAAAAGCAUAAAAAGUCGAAUGAACGAAAUUUUACAUGAUAAUUUUAAAUUUCGUAAUUACAAAUUGAAUGUUACCAGGGCCGGAAUGGAAAAAUUUAUCAGCAAUAAUAGCAAUAUUGUUUUGGGAAACAAGAAAAUGAAAAAAGAAAAAUGGAAAGAAUAUUUUAAGUUGGAAAAAAAAAUAUUAAAAAAGUUCCAUUUUAAAAAAAAUCAUAGGAAAAACACGGUGGAUAAAAAUAUGACUGAUAUAAGUAAUAAUACUAACGAAUAUAUUGAAAAAAAAAAUAUAUCUUUUUCAUUAACAUUAUUAGCUGAAUUUAACGAUGAUAUAUUAAUGAACUUAUUAGAUGAUUUGUUAAUUUAUUAUGAUAGAUAUAAGACAAAAAUUAAUAUAAAUGAGUUUAUGUAUUUUGUGUUUAACAUUUAUUUGAAUUUGUGUACCCUACCCAAAAAAGUAAUUAACUAUUUUAUUGAUUUUCUAUUUUUAUUAAUAAAAAAAGUAACUCAAACUUCUCAAAAUGUUAUGAGUAGUUUAUGGUUUUUAUAUAUUAUGUUUAUUAUUGAAAAAGGUAAUGUAUAUACAUUUCAUGAUAGGGUACAAAAAAGAAUUAUUAUAGAACAAGUGACUACAUUAAUACAAAUAUCUUUAUAUAAUUAUUAUUCAAAAAAUAUAAAAAAUAAUUAUAAUAUUGCGAUACCUUUACCUUCAAUUGUUUAUCCGUUUAAUGUAUAUUAUAUUUUGCAGAAUUGUUUUAUUAAUUCUGGUAGUAGUGGUAUACAUCAUAGUAAUCAUCAUCAUAUUGAUAAUAUGAUUAAGAUUGGUGUACAUAGAAGUAGUUAUACUGGUUGUGCAAAUUUUAAUAGUAUUUAUAGCGAAGAACGUGAUAGUUUUGGUAGUAGUAGUAUAAGUAGUAUAAGUAGUAAUAACAAUAGUAGUAGUAGUAGUAGUAGUAGUAGUAGUAGUAGUAGUAGUGGUAGUAUAAGUAGUAGUAGUAUUAGUAGUAGUGGUAGUACGAGUAGUAGUAGCAAUAAUAGUAUCAAUAAUAUUGUUAGACAUGUAAGCAUUGACCAACAUAUUAAUGAUGGCUUACAUAUCAAUAGUGACAAACGAAUUAGCAAUAAAGAAUACAGCACUAGUGACGAACAUAAUUAUAUUGAACACAAGGAAUACCAUUACAAAAAAAAAAAUAUAAACAGAUUGUAUAAAAAAAAAAUAAAAGUAAUACAACAACAUUUUAACAUAAAUGAUUAUGCAGAAAUAGCAGCAAUAAAUUCAUUAUCUUUUAUCCUGAUGUGUAUAUAUCACUUAAUUUAUUAUAAUGAAUAUACUGACGAUAAUUUAAACGUUAAACGUGUUAACAGUAAUAUUAAUAAUAUCAAUAACAAUAUUGGUAAUAAUAAUGACGGUAUUAAUACUGUUAGUAGUACUGUUACAGGUACUACUACUACUAAUACUACUAUUAAUACUACUAAUAAUAAUAAUAAUAAUAAUACUACUAAUAAUAAUACUACUAAUACUAAUAGUACUACACUUAUUACUGGUGGUAGUAAUGUCAGUAAUGUUAGUAAUCCUAAUAAUGUUAGUAAUACUAAUGCUUCUACCAUUCCUACUACUGCCACAGCUACAAACGUUAGCAAUAAUACACAUAGUAAUAACAACAUAAACAACAUAAACAGUAGUAUUAUGAUAAAUACAAAAAGUUUUAUUUGUGAAUCUGUUGUUAAUAUGUUUUAUGAGAAUUUUAAUAAAUAUAUCUCGCUCAUUUAUAAUAAUAGUAUACAAAAUGUUUUUUAUAGAUACCCAUUUUUAUUACUUAUGAAUAUGUUAAUGGAUUAUAAUUAUAAUUUUAAAUAUUAUAUUAAAAAAAUAACAUAUGACAUGUAUUCAUAUAUGACUAACUUAGAUAUAAGAUGUGUAAAAAGUUUAUCAAAAAUAUUUAAAAAUUUGAAUGAGACUAGCAUAGAUGAAUUGUUAUUACCACCUAGUAGUAGUAUAUUUUCUUUAAAAUUAAAUAUUAUAAAUUCAAGAAUUAAUUAUAUAAACAAGUUAUCUAUUAUAAUAUUAUCUGCAAAACGAAAUU